Long non-coding RNA from Adelges cooleyi (spruce gall adelgid), 216 nucleotides. RefSeq lists it as uncharacterized. The record is from RefSeq and is a predicted model, not a curated record. NCBI's taxonomy places the organism in Eukaryota, Metazoa, Arthropoda, Insecta, Hemiptera, Adelgidae. The transcript is spliced from 4 exons.
GUUUCGGUUGACGAUUUACAUGCAAAACACUUUGAAACGGUUGUUAACCAUAAGGUUCACAAGAGUUCUACCAUAACUUCAAAGAUUGCCAAUAAAAAUGAAACGUGUUUGUGUUUUGAUUUUGUUCGUCGCUGUUAAUGUUUUAGCAGAAGAUAAACUAGCGUUAUAUAAGAAGCAGCUUGUCAUCACAAGUAGACAAAUCGCGGAGGUGAAUUU